RNAcentral lists this ribosomal RNA (458 nucleotides) under uncultured bacterium. Its description in RNAcentral is "bacterial SSU rRNA". It matches the Rfam family "Bacterial small subunit ribosomal RNA", at positions 28 to 507 of the family's 1533-position model. The record is from RNAcentral.
GAUGAACGCUGGCGGCGUGCUUGAUACAUGCAAGUCGAACGGAGAGUGUAGCAAUAUACUUUUAGUGGCGAACGGGUGAGUAACGCGUUGGUGACCUGCCCCGAAGCGAGGGAUAACAGUUCGAAAGAACUGCUAAUACCUCAUGUGAUCACCGGUUUUAGAAUCUGGUGAUUAAAGGUGAAAAUCACUUCGGGAGGGGCCUGCGUCCCAUCAGCUAGUUGGUAAGGUAAUGGCUUACCAAGGCGAUGACGGGUAGGGGACCUGAGAGGGUGGCCCCCCACAAUGGAACUGAAACACGGUCCAUACACCUACGGGUGGCAGCAGUAGGGAAUAUUAGAAAUGGACGAAAGUCUGAUCUAGCAACACCGCGUGUGCGAAGAAGGCCUUCGGGUUGUAAAGCACUUUUGGAAGGAUUAGGAAGGAAUGUACUUCCAGAAUAAGUCUCGGCUAACUACGUG